AGUGAACGCUGGCGGUAGGCCUAACACAUGCAAGUCGAACGGCAGCACAGUAAGAGCUUGCUCUUACGGGUGGCGAGUGGCGGACGGGUGAGGAAUACAUCGGAAUCUACUUUUUCGUGGGGGAUAACGUAGGGAAACUUACGCUAAUACCGCAUACGACCUACGGGUGAAAGCAGGGGAUCUUCGGACCUUGCGCGAUUGAAUGAGCCGAUGUCGGAUUAGCUAGUUGGCGGGGUAAAGGCCCACCAAGGCGAUGAUCCGUAGCUGGUCUGAGAGGAUGAUCAGCCACACUGGAACUGAGACGCGGUCCAGACUCCUACGGGAGGCAGCAGUGGGGAAUAUUGGACAAUGGGCGCAAGCCUGAUCCAGCCAUACCGCGUGGGUGAAGAAGGCCUUCGGGUUGUAAAGCCCUUUUGUUGGGAAAGAAAAGCAGCAGGUUAAUACCCCGCUGUUCUGACGGUACCCAAAGAAUAAGCACCGGCUAACUUCGUG
Molecule: ribosomal RNA, 492 nt
Filed under: uncultured bacterium
Lineage: Bacteria
Description: partial 16S ribosomal RNA
Rfam family: Bacterial small subunit ribosomal RNA
Source: RNAcentral